AAGAGAUAAAAUAGUAAUAGAUAGUUAAAUCUUUCUGUAACUGUUAGAGACAAGGGAAUAUUAAUGGUAUUGAACCUCUUUGAUAGUCCUUAUUAUGGUCUUUAUACAGCUCUCUGGGUUUGCGUAUGUAUAAAGUGGUGUCAAGUAUUUGUGGCUUUGACAAAUCUUUGUUUUCCUUCAGAAUCUGUCCGGUCACAAACGCUCCGUUCGCUCCCUCUCCUUCGCUCCCUCCUCCUCCUCCAUGCUCUGCUCCGGCUCUGUGUCUGGAGAGGUCAGGGUGUGGUCGGUGCCCACCUCCACCUGUGUGGGAUGUUUCCAGGCUCACAGUGGAGCCACAGAGACUCUCUUUUUUCUGGGAGAGGGGAACAUGCUGCUGACUGCUGGCUCUGAUGAUCACAUGGUGAGGAAACAGAAUAAAGUCAGAAUCAGAGAAAUUUAACUGUCUUCUUGUAUCAGAUUUUAAAAACUGUGUUUUUCUAUCAUGCUGGAGUAGAAUAAACCCUUUAAACUUUAGAGUAUCCCUGUAGAUUUAAAGGGAUAUUCUGGCAUAAACUUAAGUUAGGGUCAAACACACUGUAACGCCGAGUUAGACACCCCCUCGAGAGAUGAAUGUUGCCGAUCACUUGCUUCCCUAGAUAUACCAAUUUCAGUAACAACCGCACAAUAGCAAUACACAGCGGUCCAAGGAGCCACAUGCUCAACCAAAAAGCCACUCUAUAGCCACAAAUAAUGCUCAGAACAGCACCUAACUUCAUCAACAGUACAUAUAGGGUCCCUGCCAUAGUACUAGCCACCAAACAUCUUUUUAACUUUUCCUGAUUUCUUUAGCAAAGAGACUAAACACAACUCACCUACUCUCUUCCAGCAGCCGCUUGUUUGUAUGGAAACCUCAGACGAGUCCAUUACAGACUGCAGCGGGGUGACACAGCUCAAGGAAGAACAUUUAUGGUCAUUUCUUCAUUUCUUGGAAAUGCAAUCAGACCGAGACGCUAAGGCAGAAGAACUACCGCGUCUGCAGCGCAAAAUGAUUAAUAUGAUGAUUAUUACUUCGAGGAAAUGAUAAAGAAAUGAUCAUAAAUGUCCUUCCUUGAGCUGCGUCACCCCGCAGCAGUCCAUGAUGGACUGGUCGAGGUCUCGCUACAAACAAGCGACUGCUGGAAGAGAGUAGGUGAGUUGUGUUUAGUCUCUUUGCUAAAGAAAUCAGGCAAAGUUAAAAAGAUGUUUAGUGGCUAGUGCUGUGGCUGAGACCCGUGGCUCUGUGUAUCGCUAUCCUGCGAACGUUUUGCGAUUUUGGCACAAACAUCCUCCUUUUUCCUUUUUCUGUUUCGUUUUGUCUUCCAGCUCCAUCUCUGGUCGGGAGGACUUGGACGUUCAGUCACUAAAUUAAAGACAGAUGUGGUAAGCUUUUUGUUUUUUUAUCUACUGAAGCUCUUGAAUAGUUGGAGCUUUAAAAAGCAGCCGUUUGGUUAAAACACUUCACAUCAUUCUGUAUUUAUUUCGUGUUUUAGUGCGAGCAGGAGCCUCCCCGUAAGAAACAUAAAUCUGUCACCUCUGUGUCAGCUGCUCUGUGUGUGGCUGUUAAUGGAGACUAUGCUGCUGUGGGAUAUCAUGGAGAUGGGAUCAGAAUCUUCAGCCUAGAGUCAGGUAGGCUUCAUCUCACAAGAGUAUAAAAACAAAUCAAAUUUAGUGUAAACCUGUCGCACAAAAUGUAAAAAAUGUUCACACACAAUUGAUCUGAAUUAAAAAGACCCUCACUGUUUAUACUCAAAUUGUAGGUGAGAAGAUUUGGGACUCAGGAGGCCUCGAUGUGUCUGUACCAUGUCUGCGGUGGGUCUACCUGAAUCCAGAGCAGUCUGAACCAGAGCUGCUAGUGUCUGCAGGCAGUGACAAACGUCUGAGGGUCUGGAAGAAGAAAAGCAAAGAAGAGGGGCUUCUUGGAGGUCUGGACCAGUGGGGGAUGUUUUCUUCACACUUUCAGCCCGUAUUGGCAAUGGAACAAAACUCCAAAUACCUGGUUACAGCUUCAGGUGAGUGUUUGAAAGAAAUGUAGAUAAAGUCACGAGAACAUGUUAAAGUUUUCGGGCAGCUGUUGUAGAGAUGUUUUUUUCUUGACCAGGAGGUUUUUUUGGCGGUUUGAUCUUCCACUCAUGUAUGAAGUAAAAAUGUAAAGUGUUGUCUACCCUUCAACCUUUCCUUUAUUCCCUCUGAUGAAGAUGACUGCAAUGUUUUUUUGUGGCUGCUGAGCAAUCUGGCUGAAGACCCCUUCAUGGAGCCUUGUGGGCUGCUGAAAGGUCACACUGGAGGAGUCACCUGUCUGUCUUUCAGCCCUGAUGGUGAACAGCUGCUGUCCGGUGGAAAAGAUAAGGUGAAGUGUGUUAAUGCUAAUCUGUCUCAGCCAAUAACAUUGAUGACUUAACUGACUUCACUAUUAGGUUUUUAAUUUUACUUUGAUGCUAUGUUUCAGGCUCUGAUGGUUUGGGAUGUGAGUGUUACUCCUCCUGUUCUCUCCAAGUCGCUCCCUCACUCUCAUAGAGACUGGAUCACCGGCUGUGUUUGGACUCCAGACUGUGUGGUACAUCUCUAACACCAUUAUACUGCAGUAUUAACAGUUCUGAUGUAUUUCCUUUAAACUUGUCUUAAUCAGACUCUCUUCUCUGUUCCAGAUCAGCUCGUCAAACGAUGGGAGGCUCUGUUUUUGGGAUCUGCAGGCGGGCAAACGUCUCAAAGAAAUCUCCUGGACCAGCUCUCUGACAUCUGUCUGCUGUCUGGUGAGAAAAUAUGAAACUUGUGUUCAUGAGAGAAUUGAGAGCGUAUCUUCACAGAAUUCUUAAAAGUGCAGUAAAUGAGAUCUCGGUUUAUGUUCACUGAUUGUAGGGACAAUUUGUGGUGGCGGGCUGUGCAGAAGGAGGACUUCAUGUCUGGAACUGGGAAACAAACUCAGAAAUCAGCCACAUCGCUGCUCACAAACGGCGUAUUCAUGCCUGCUCUGUCCUACCAAACACAGGUAAAGAGCUCUGCGUAUGUCUGUCUGACAAAAAGCGUAUCAUAUUCACAUCAUUGUUUAAUUUACAUUCUAAGUUCCUGUGUUUUUUAAAUAUUUUUCAAGACAAAGAAGUAAACCCAGAGGAAAUGUCUGUCCUCACUGCGUCUGAUGAUGGAACCGUGCAGCUCUGGAAACCUCUGCAGGUCUGUGAGUUAAAAGUGAAACGGAGAGAUAUUCAGAAAAUUUAUCUGAAUAAAGUUGAACUUAAGUAAAUUUAAGUACUUUGAAGUGUGCAUGUUGUUAGGAAUAAAACAGAAAUUUUUUACAGUUUUAAGACCAAACAAAUAGAUUAAAUCAAAGAUUAAAUAUGCCUGAAUUUCACUGUCAACUUUAGUCUACUUUCUCACCUUUAGUUCAAGUUUGUAUUUAGUUUUAAAGUUUUAUUAUUUAUUUAUUUAGUUUUAUUUUUUCCCUCUUUUUGUCUCCUUUUUCUGAUUCUGUAUCUUAAAACACAGAUGGAGCACUUCAACUCCUUUGCGGGUCCCAGCGGCUCCAUACAUGGGAUUGUUCACAAAGACGGACACCCGGAUUUCGCCAUUGCGUCUGAAGGCUGCUCACUGCUAUGCUGGACACUGACAAAAGGUUCAACUUUAUACCCCACCUUCACAUGUGGAAAAAGUUUUAAAUUUUACAUUUAUUAAAGGAGUGCUCAAAGUAAUCAUUUACACUGUGUAUAAUUUGGUUGAUUUGAUUAAAAUGUGUCUUUUUUUGUUCCUUUUCCCAGCUCAUUUAUGUGUUGUGUUUUUUCAGAGGGUUCUACCAGCCUGAGGGGUCCGGUCACAGCUCUGUGCUUCUCUCAGACAGGCGAUCUGCUGCUUGUUGGUUAUGAAUCUGGUUAUUUGGAAAUUUGGCAGAAUAACGUUGUGGUCGGACACAAACAGGUGAGGACACGUCUUUAAAAGGGGGGUGAAUAUUGGACUCAAAGAUGUUUCUUUUUCAUGGUGUUUGUGCCUGUUUGGAUUUCUGCGUGUUUGUCAGGCUUCAGCCAGCGCCGUCACAGCGAUCUGCUCCAUGCCUGAUAACCAGUUUGCUGUCAGCUACUUGGAAGUUGUUGUUGAUGAGUGGAAGCUGGUGUGGAAUGAACAACACAGCAAAGCAAAGUAAAACAACAACAACCACAAUAUUUAACCUUCAUCUUAUUUUUUUAAAUGUGAAAUAAUGUGUUUUUCUGUCUUGUGUCUCCGUCUCUUCCAGCCUGGUGAAGGUAAAAACGUACAAAAUAAACAGCCAGGUGAUUCACCUCAUGUACUGCACGGUCCUGCUGGCUGUAUCUCACGACGGGGAGAUAUUUGACGUCGCAAAUACAGAGGGUUUCGCGAGGUGGAACCACAGCGUAAAUAGGUAUCACGAAAUUAAGCGCAAGGUGUCCAAAAGGGUUUGAAGGUCAGAUCUGAAAUAUCAGCUUGAGUGGAGUUAAUCAUCCGGGUUUUGAUCUGAAUAAAAGCCAGCUUCACUAGUUAGAGUUAUCUAUUUUUAAACAAUCAAGUCAGAUGAAAACAUCUAAGUACUGGUUUAGCGACCUCAGAGACCAGGAUGUCGCUUAGAGGAUGAGAUACGGGCCGAGUCUAAUUGUCUGACGCGCUUUGUCAAUGGAUCAGCUGAGACGGGAAUCGAUUAGGAAAAAACGUGCUUUAAUACUAAAGAAACAAUCAACAAAACGAUACCAACUGAAGAAACAGCGAUCACUGGACUUAAAGAGUAUGUGUACAUGCGGUCAACAAAAAAUACGGCGACCCACUCAAAACCUCUUCCCUCGUGAACACAGGUGACCAGGUGCUUAAAUCAACUGAGUGACACCGCCCCUAUUCCCGUGACCCGGAUUCCACAAAUCACUGCCACCAAUCACAACAAAAUACCAAAACAAACCAAGAGCAUAACCACAAACCUUUACCUUGCGGCUCCUACAACUGGUAUUAAAAUGUUACAUUUUCAUAAACUCACUUUGUAAAUACUGUACCUUCUUUUUCAGUUUUAAAUUUAACCAAUAGUGAAAGAGGGGUGCAGGCUGUGAAAGAUUAACUUAUGCAGAGUUCUCAAACUUUUUUUGUGCAGCUGGUCGCAUAGAGUCCGAGUAAAGCACGUGAUCCAAAAUGAUGAAAAGAGCAUGUGGCUGGUGGGCGAAGACAAUGGAAAAGUUGAGAUUGGCUUCAUUGUGAGUUCUAAUCUAAAUUUAAACCUAAAGUUUUUUUUUCCUCCCUUUUUUUUUCAUUCAUUGAUUUUGACUUGUGCCUCUGUUCGGUCUUUCCUCAGUUUACAAUGGGCCCUGAACAAAGUUUGGAUACAAAUUUUGGUCAUAUGGAUAUGAAAACUGGAGACGAGGAGAAGGAGGAGAAGAGACAGAUCACAGCUGUAACUAUUAACAAAGGUAGGAACAUCUAGUAGUCAUACUGUCUAUCAUCUACUUUUAACUCUAGUUAUAACACUAACAACUGGACCUGCUGUGUUUUUCAUUUGCUUAUAGAUUUGAUUGUGUGCGGGGACGAGAAGGGCAACAUGUGGUUCAUGACCUCUCAAGAACCUUCCAAGUGGCAGAGCAGAAAACUUGUAAGAGCUCAGAAAAACAUGACUAAAAACUCCAAUCACAGCUCACACUUGUUUUAGGAACAAGUUUUUUAUUUCAUUUGCAGUUUAUUUUAAUUACAUAUAAUAAUCGCAACACACAGAAACUUUGAUUUUGAUGACAAUGCAGUUGAAUCCAGACCUUUUAUUUUCACCAAGUGUACUAUUUCUGCACAACUUUUAACUAAAGGUGUAAAAUGUAAUGGAGCUUUAAGAGCUGAAAUGAGCACCUGUCGGACAACAUCUGUAUUUAACUGAUUUUAAUAUUUAAUAUUUUUAAUCCUCAGGCCCACAGUGACAGGAUCAGUGUGCUCAGACUCACAGACAGCACCAUCAUCUCCGCCUCCUAUGACAGGACGGUGAAGCUGUGGGACAGAAACACCAAGAAACAGGUACGUUAGAGUCUUAAACUUAUGUUAGUUGUCUUUAUUUUCACAAAACAAGAUUUCUGUAAGGAUUUAGCAAACCAGAUUAAAAAAAGGGUGAAUUGUAUCUGUGAAAAACAUAGCUGGUUGUUAGUUGAGCCAACCCACUGCUGACUUUAGCUCCUUGUUUAACUUACCCUCGACUUCUCUUCUCCUCCUCCAGGUGGGGAUGUUUGUGUGUAGAGCUGCUGUUCUGCUUUUGGAGGUAAACCCUGUAAAACCCACUGUGCUGGUCUGCGGUGACAGAUGGGGGAAACUCUACUUUCUCUCCUGGAAGGAAUAAUCCAGAACAUAUUAUGCACUAUCAAAGAAAGCCUGAAAUGUUUUGCUUUUUUUGCUAGGGAUACAAGCUAUGUAAUAGCUGUUAAUUCAAGUUAACAUGUGCCUUUACUGCAGAUAUUAAGUAACUUGCAGAUGUAAUAUGCAAGUAUAAAAUACCUUGAAAAGCAUCUAUUUUGAUUUCAUGGGCUUUAUUAUUUUAUGUUAUUUUAUGUUUUAUUGUAACCGGAAGAAAAAUAUGGAUGUGGGAUAUUGAAACACUUAAAGUGGAAACAUAUCUUGCACAUUAAAAUUAUGUUUAUCAUCA
Molecule: non-coding RNA, 6613 nt
Organism: Xyrichtys novacula (pearly razorfish)
Lineage: Eukaryota; Metazoa; Chordata; Actinopteri; Labriformes; Labridae
Source: the annotation of a GenBank genome assembly